UGGAAUAUAGUUCAGUGGUAGAGCAUUUGUCUAAUAUGUAUAAGUCCCUGGGUUUAAUCCCCAGUACCAC
Ictidomys tridecemlineatus (thirteen-lined ground squirrel) is the source of this 70-nucleotide non-coding RNA. NCBI's taxonomy places the organism in Eukaryota, Metazoa, Chordata, Mammalia, Rodentia, Sciuridae. The record is from Rfam.